RNAcentral lists this ribosomal RNA (468 nucleotides) under uncultured bacterium. RNAcentral's name for it is "partial 16S ribosomal RNA". It matches the Rfam family "Bacterial small subunit ribosomal RNA", at positions 28 to 507 of the family's 1533-position model. The record is from RNAcentral.
GACGAACGCUGGCGGCGUGCUUAACACAUGCAAGUCGAACGGAAAGGCCCUGCUUUUGUGGGGUGCUCGAGUGGCGAACGGGUGAGUAACACGUGAGUAACCUGCCCUUGACUUUGGGAUAACUUCAGGAAACUGGGGCUAAUACCGGAUAGGAGCUCCUGCUGCAUGGUGGGGGUUGGAAAGUUUCGGCGGUUGGGGAUGGACUCGCGGCUUAUCAGCUUGUUGGUGGGGUAGUGGCUUACCAAGGCUUUGACGGGUAGCCGGCCUGAGAGGGUGACCGGCCACAUUGGGACUAAGAUACGGCCCAGACUCCUACGGGAGACAGCAGUGGGGAAUAUUGCACAAUGGGCGGAAGCCUGAUGCAGCAACGCCGCGUGCGGGAUGACGGCCUUCGGGUUGUAAACCGCUUUCGCCUGUGACGAAGCGUGAGUGACGGUAAUGGGUAAAGAAGCACCAGCUAACUACGUG